Molecule: long non-coding RNA, 2775 nt
Organism: Juglans microcarpa x Juglans regia
Lineage: Eukaryota; Viridiplantae; Streptophyta; Magnoliopsida; Fagales; Juglandaceae
Exons: 2
Source: RefSeq, a predicted model, not a curated record
CUUCCACCAUCAUCUCUCAAAACUCCUCCACAACCAACAAAUCCUGGAUUCCCAAGAGAUUAGCCAUCAAUAUUAAACUUCAUUUUUUUAACCGGGGCAAGCCUCUAGUGCACUAACAGGGGCUUUUUUUUUUUUUUACUUGUAAUUGUUGUAAUUGGAAAGUCAGCAAAGAGCAAGAAUCCUGGACUCUUAGUACCUUUUUUGGUUUUAACAAACCAUUAAAAUCGUGUAACCAAUGAUUCUUAACAUGAUUUAAAAUCGUGUUAGCCAGCGUUCUCAAUCUACGACAGCUGGCUAACACGUUGGGAUGUAAAAUAGCCUCACUUCCUAUGAUUUACUUGGCCUCUGUUGGGGGCUCCUUCGAGAGCGCCUUCUAUAUGGGACACGGUGGUUGGGAAAGUAGAGUGGAGACUGGCGGGAUGGAAAAUGAUGUAUUUGUCAAAAGGUGAGUGGAGUGGGGGAGGAGUUCAAGUUUCACCUAGUCAAGUGGGAGACGAUAUGCCGCCUUAUUUCUAAUGGUGGUUUGGGCAUCAAAAGUAUGAGGAUCUUUAAUCGGGCGUUACUUGACAAGUGGUUGUGGAGAUAUCAUAAGGAAUUAGAAGUCCUAUGGAAAUUGGUGAUUGAGAGCAAAUAUGGAGAUUUAUGUUGGGGGGAUAGUUCUCUAAAGAAGUAAGGCGGUUGUAUGGAGUGGGUUUGUGGAAACACGUUCGAAGAGGAUGGGAGGUCUUGAGUAGACACACUAGACUUCUUCUGGGUGAGGGCUCAAGGAUUAAAUUCUGGAGAGAUAUUUGGUGCGGUAAUCGUACUUUACAAGAUAUAUUCUCUUCACUGUUCAAUAUUGCUAGUGCUAAAAAUGUAUCGGUGGUGGAAGUUAUGGAGAUAUCUGGGGGGCAGAUCCGUUGGAAUAUCACCUUUAGUAGGGCGGCACAAGACUGGAAAAUGAGCAGCUUUGCAUAUUUUUACAGCCUUUUGUACUCUAUAUUACCAAGCACUCAGCAGGAAGGCUUAAUGUGGUGGAUACCUGAUGGUAAAUGGGUAUUCUCGGUUCGCUCCUUUUACAAGGCUCUUGCACAAGAACCUCAAACUCAGUUUCCGUGGAGAAGGCUUUGGAGACAUAAGAUGCCUCCCAAAACAGCUUUUUUUGUGUGGACAACCUCGUUGGGGAAGAUUCUCACAAUCGACAACUUGAGGAAACGAAGGGUAAUCAUUGUAGAUUGGUGUUGCAUGUGUAGAGAAGGGGGAGAGUCUGUAAGCCAUCUCAUACUACAUUGUGAGACCGCUCGGGUAUUAUGGAAUGGGGUGUUCAGUAGAUUAGACUUGUCUUGAGCUAUGCCGGAGACAGUGGUGGCAAUGUUGGCCAGUUGGACAAAUCUAAGAGGCAUGCAACAAAUUAAAGUUGUCUAGAAGAUGAUCCCUAUAUGCAUUAUGUGGUGUUUAUGGCAGGAACGUAAUGACAGGACAUUUGAAGACAAGGAGAGAUCGCAGGAGCAGCUGAAAGUUUUUUUCUUUAGAACACUUUGUACUUGGGCCAUUGCUGUUGACUUCAAUGGCAUGGACCUACAUGAUUUUCUUGUCUAUAAUGUGCCCACGUAGCUUAAGGCAUGCUUUUGUUUUUACUGUUUAGAACAAUGUAGAUGGCUUUGCCUAUUCUUUGAUCAAUAAAAUUUCUUUACUGGUGGGAGUUGGUACCGGUGGGAGAGGUCCAUAAUAUUCAUCACUUGGCUGAAUUUCUGGGGUGUAAAGUUACAUUUCUGCCCAUAAAAUAUUUGGGACUACUGCUAGGGGCAUCUUUUAAGGCCAAACACAUUUGGGACGGGGUGAUCGAGAAGAUAGAGAGGAAGUUGGCAGCUUGGAAAAGGACUUAUUUAUCUAAAGGGGGUAGGAUUACUCUUAUAAAGAGUACUCUCUCUAAUAUCCCCACCUACUUCCUUUCUUUAUUCCCUUUACCAGUUGGUGUGGCCAACCGUAUUGAAAAAUUGUAUAGAGAUUUUCUAUGGGGUGGCUUGGGAGAGGAGUCUAAAACUCCCUUAGUGAGUUGGAAAAAAAUUUGUUGCCCGAUUGGUGAUGGAGGACUGGGUAUUCAUAGUCUAUGUAGUUUUAAUAAGGCGUUGUUGGGAAAGUGGCUAUGGAGAUACCAUGGGGAAGAGGAAGCGUUGUGGAGGGGGGUGAUUGAUUAUAAGUAUGGUAGUGAUUGGGGAGGAUGGUGUACCAAGGAGAGUAGGGAUUCAUAUGGAGUGAGUCUAUGGAAGUUUAUUAGGAAAGGUUGGGGUCGCUUCCUAAAACAAGUUAACUUCUCGGUUGGUGAUGGUUCAAAAAUCAGAUUUUGGUCUGAUGUUUGGUGUGGGGAUAUUGAAUUGUCUCGAGCAUUUCCGGUUGUUUUCAGAUUGGCGACUAAUAAGCAAGCUUCAGUUUCCAAGGUGAUGGGUUUUUCCAAUGGAGUGGUGCUUUGGGAUGUAGGCUUCUCCAGAUCUGCCCAAGAUUGGGAAGUAGAGGAGGUUACUGAAUUUUUUAGACAGUUGUAUUCAGUGGAGAUAAGAAGACAGGCAGGGACCAACUAUGUUGGAGACAAACAGCCUCUAAAAAAUUUACAGUUCGGUCAUUUUAUAAGGUGAUGCUAAAUCAGCACCAUAUUGGCUUUCCUUGGAAGAGGAUUUGGAAGGCUCAUGUUCUGUCAAGAGUGGCUUUUUUUAUAUGGACAGCAGCAAUAGGGAAUAUUCAGACUAUAGAUAACUUGAGAAAGCGCGGAAUGAUUGUUUUGGAUUCGUGCUUUAUGUG